This 515-nucleotide ribosomal RNA is filed under the name uncultured bacterium. Its description in RNAcentral is "partial 16S ribosomal RNA". It matches the Rfam family "Bacterial small subunit ribosomal RNA", at positions 28 to 523 of the family's 1533-position model. The record is from RNAcentral.
GAUGAACGCUGGCGGCGUGCCUGAUACAUGCAAGUCGAGCGAAUGGAUUAAGAGCUUGCUCUUAUGAAGUUAGCGGCGGACGGGUGAGUAACACGUGGGUAACCUGCCCAUAAGACUGGGAUAACUCCGGGAAACCGGGGCUAAUACCGGAUAACAUUUUGAACCGCAUGGAUCGAAAUUGAAAGGCGGCUUCGGCUGUCACUUAUGGAUGGACCCGCGUCGCAUGAGCUAGUUGGUGAGGUAACGGCUCACCAAGGCAACGAUGCGUAGCCGACCUGAGAGGGUGAUCGGCCACACUGGGACUGAGACACGGCCCAGACUCCUACGGGAGGCAGCAGUAGGGAAUCUUCCGCAAUGGACGAAAGUCUGACGGAGCAACGCCGCGUGAGUGAUGAAGGCUUUCGGGUCGUAAAACUCUGUUGUUAAGGAAGAACAAGUGCUAGUUGAAUAAGCUGGCACCUUGACGGUACCUAACCAGAAAGCCACGGCUAACUACGUGCCAGCAGCCGCGGUAA